AAUCCAUGGUGAUGACACCUUCUCAAUAGAUCUUUGUAUCUCUCUCAUGCAUCAUAAAGUGUUUCUAAAUCCAUCUGUACAAAAAAAGAGAUAUCAUUUUGUAAUU
This 106-nucleotide small nucleolar RNA is filed under the name Gossypium barbadense (sea-island cotton). RNAcentral's name for it is "Plant small nucleolar RNA R71". It matches the Rfam family "Plant small nucleolar RNA R71". Rfam says of the family: R71 is a member of the C/D box family of snoRNAs containing the C (UGAUGA) and D (CUGA) box motifs. RNAcentral also lists the same sequence under 1 other name. Lineage: Eukaryota; Viridiplantae; Streptophyta; Magnoliopsida; Malvales; Malvaceae. The record is from Rfam by way of RNAcentral.